GGAAGGGUGGCAGAGCGGUUGAAUGCAACGGUCUUGAAAACCGUCGAUGGGCAACCAUCCGUGGGUUCAAAUCCCACCCCCUCCGCCA
Molecule: transfer RNA, 88 nt
Filed under: Magnetococcales bacterium
Lineage: Bacteria; Pseudomonadati; Pseudomonadota; Magnetococcia; Magnetococcales
Description: tRNA-Ser
Rfam family: tRNA
About the family: Transfer RNA (tRNA) molecules are approximately 80 nucleotides in length.
Source: RNAcentral